This is a non-coding RNA of Vigna umbellata (rice bean), 338 nucleotides long. Lineage: Eukaryota; Viridiplantae; Streptophyta; Magnoliopsida; Fabales; Fabaceae. The record is from RefSeq and is a predicted model, not a curated record.
CUAAACCUAAUUUCAAGCACCACAACCCCAAACCUUCUUCACUAUUCUCUGUUUUAAGAUUUUGAGAUAAACCCUAAACCUUCUUCACUAUUUCUUCUUUUUGAUUCACUCGAAAUUUCAGUGGUCAACCAAAGAUAAAUCUAAUUGAAAACGCACGUUGUUGCCACUAUUGCGCUGGUGGGUGUGGUGGGGUUCGCCGGAGAUUAAGAUCGAGGCUAGUGCACUGCGUGUUAGGAAGGUUGUUGUUGUUACAAGGUGAUGAUAAACUCUUUACCCUGAUAUCUUCGUGGCAAAGUGAAAGCAAGCACCAGACCACCUCACACUGNACUCGGUCUUUG